This is a long non-coding RNA of Cebus imitator (Panamanian white-faced capuchin), 1999 nucleotides long. RefSeq lists it as uncharacterized. The transcript has 2 exons. The record is from RefSeq and is a predicted model, not a curated record. Lineage: Eukaryota; Metazoa; Chordata; Mammalia; Primates; Cebidae.
UGGUGGAGCUGCUGCGCCCCAUGCGGCCUGCCGAGGGCGCCGCCGAGGGCCCCCGAGCUCCGUGGGGUCAGGGUGGGGGGAGCUGCCGGGGACAGGGCGGCCCGAGGGGCAGGGGCAGGAGCGCCCCCGGCCUGGGGUGUGUCUGGGCCCCGGCUCCCGGCUCUUGAAGGACCGCGAGCAGGAAGCUUGCGCAAUCCCUUGGCUGAGCGUCCACGGAGAAAGAAAAAGAGUAAAAGCCGAGCGAGAGUGGAGCGAGCGAUGGGGGCAGGCAAAGAGCCAUCCGGGUCUCCACCACCGCCCUGACACACGACCCGACUGUCAGUUGGGGACCGCGCGGGGGCAAGCAGGGGAGGGACGAGCCUGAGCAGGGCUCGUGUUCGCCCAGGAAUCCCUGGGAAGCCUUGAAGACAGUCUGGUGGUGAACGCACACGUUGACUCCAUUUCAUUACCACCUGGCAGCUCUUGCGCCACGGAGGCUGCUGCUGCCCGGAGGCUGCCGCCCACGGAGACCCACGUGGCCCCUCCCCGAGGGGUACUGGGGUGAGGGUUGUCUUCUGGUGGCUGCAGAGGUGUUCGGUUUGCGACUGAUCUCUAACGAGCUUGAGGCGCAAACCUGGGAUUCCCUGAGUGUUGGGGUGCGGGGGGGGGCAAGCCAGGUGGGACGACGCCUGCCUGUUUUCCCUGACUAGGUGCGGUGGGGGCGGGGGACGGCUCUCGGGGUUUAUAGAAGCUGGGUGGGCGCACAGGAAAAGAUUUUUCUACUGCCGUGUUUGGCUUUUCCCCGGCAUUCUUGCCCAAGGCGAAGAACUGUCGCGCGGGGCUCCACCGCGGAAGGAGAGGGGUCGUGAGGCUGGCGCGGGAAGCGCUGUAGGCGACAGUCGCCCGUCCACGACGACCCAGCCGCACAAGCCGGUUGCGCCGUCGGUCCGUCGGGAGGUCUGCAGCAACUUUGUCCCGGCCAGUCCCCUUGUCCGGGAAGGGGCUGAGCUUCCCGACACUCCACCCUCCCCCCUCUUGAAAAUCCCCUGGAAAAUCUGUUUGCAGUGGGUGUUUCCGCGGCGUCCGGGUCGGGGGCGCCGGGGGAGGCCGAACGGCGGCUGCAGCCUCCCUGCCGCCAGGGGCGUCGGACUCCGCUUCGCUCCCUGCGCCCAGGGCCCUCAGGGGCCCACGCUCAGGACCUCGGGGCCACACGGCAGGACCCGGUGCCCUCACUACGGGUUUGCGCAGGAGCCGGGCUGGGCCAGGCGAGGAGCUGGGGAGGAAGUGGGGGGUCCGUACAGCGGAUCCUUUCUGGAGCUGCCUGUGCCGCGGCGUGAAGCGUUUCCUGGCUCCCCAGGACUGCCGGAGGGGCCGCCCCAAGCACUUCAGAAGCCCAGCGAGCCCCCGGCCACCGCCGCUCCUGGCCUUUUUCCGACGACUUUGAAAGUGAAAUUCACAAGCACCAGCAAUUGACUUCCCUUCCGUGGUUAUUUAUUUCGUCUCCGUGGAUGACAGGGGCUGCUCGAGCCCCUGGUUCUGCUGCCAGACUGAAGCCUUCCAGAUGCCACCUUUGUUUGGGCCCCCGGGGCCCUCCGGGGGCCCCAGGAGAGGAGAGCUGCUAUCUAGCUCAGCCACAGGCUCGCUCCUGGAGGGGACAAAGCUGAAGGAGUGGACCCUGGAGAGGUCGGGAACCUUUUAACAGCCGUGGACUGAAGGGUGAUUACUGAGAGUCCGGUCUGGGAAGAAGCAUGACCCGCGCCAUCCCAGGGAAAUAAACGACUUCUCAAAGGAAUCCUCUCCCUGAGCCGGUGCUCUGGGCAAGGAGAUGGCCACCGCCCGCCCACGGAACCCACAUUUGGGCUCUACCCUGAGGUGGCUGCCUGUGGCUUCCCGGGCGGGUCCCCAACUCAGAAAGCUCUUGAGUUGUUGUCGUUUUCGGCCCUGAGAGGUGGAUUGCAGAUCACACAGGGGGGAUUUACCAGUAACCACUACAAAAUCUACCUGGGCUUUAUCAAAAGCA